AUUUUUUUAAGAAAUUUAAUUUAAAAUAAAACCUGCUCAAAUGUAAAUAAUAAUAAAUAGCUGCAGAAUAUCUGUACUAAGGUAGCAUAAUCAUUAGCUUUUUAAUUAAAAGAUAGAAUGAAUGGUUAAACGAAAUAAGUUCUGUUUCUAAAAAUUUAAUUAAAUUAAAAUAAAAGUAAAAAUUCUUUUUAAUAAAUAAGAAAGACGACAAGACCCUAAAAACUUAAAUUUUAGCUGGGGCGGCAAAUAAUUAAACCUUAAUUUAAAAUAAAAAAUUCUAAAAAAUUACAAUUAAUCAAGUUACUAUAGGGAUAACAGCGCAACUUUAGUUUAAAGUUCUCAUUUUAACUAAAAUCUACGACCUCGAUGUUGAAUUAAUUUAACUAAUAAAAGCAAAAAUUUAAUAAGAAGGUCUGU
This 417-nucleotide ribosomal RNA is filed under the name Modisimus berac. Its description in RNAcentral is "partial 16S ribosomal RNA". The record is from RNAcentral. Lineage: Eukaryota; Metazoa; Arthropoda; Arachnida; Araneae; Pholcidae.